CCUUGUUACCAUCAUCUCUUCCAAUUCAUGUGUAAACCUACUUUAGCUCAUUAGCAAGAAGCUAAAAAACACUUCUUGCAUUACUUAAAAUGACGUAUAAUUAUAAACCCUGUUAUUGUUUAGGGCUCAUUCAUUUGACAGCUUAUUUUAGAAUUCGAGUUGUAUCUUUUGUCCGAAAGAAUGAUUGAUCUUUUUUCACAACAUUAACUAUUGGAUCGUGCCUUGCAUAGAUUUCAAAGCAUUC
RNAcentral lists this long non-coding RNA (244 nucleotides) under Elaeis guineensis (African oil palm). RNAcentral's name for it is "long non-coding RNA (EGUI_LNC030060)". The record is from RNAcentral. Lineage: Eukaryota; Viridiplantae; Streptophyta; Magnoliopsida; Arecales; Arecaceae.